This 512-nucleotide ribosomal RNA is filed under the name Fusarium oxysporum. RNAcentral's name for it is "eukaryotic LSU rRNA". The stretch from base 191 to 344 matches the Rfam family "5.8S ribosomal RNA". Lineage: Eukaryota; Fungi; Ascomycota; Sordariomycetes; Hypocreales; Nectriaceae. The record is from RNAcentral.
CGUAACAAGGUCUCCGUUGGUGAACCAGCGGAGGGAUCAUUACCGAGUUUACAACUCCCAAACCCCUGUGAACAUACCACUUGUUGCCUCGGCGGAUCAGCCCGCUCCCGGUAAAACGGGACGGCCCGCCAGAGGACCCCUAAACUCUGUUUCUAUAUGUAACUUCUGAGUAAAACCAUAAAUAAAUCAAAACUUUCAACAACGGAUCUCUUGGUUCUGGCAUCGAUGAAGAACGCAGCAAAAUGCGAUAAGUAAUGUGAAUUGCAGAAUUCAGUGAAUCAUCGAAUCUUUGAACGCACAUUGCGCCCGCCAGUAUUCUGGCGGGCAUGCCUGUUCGAGCGUCAUUUCAACCCUCAAGCACAGCUUGGUGUUGGGACUCGCGUUAAUUCGCGUUCCCCAAAUUGAUUGGCGGUCACGUCGAGCUUCCAUAGCGUAGUAGUAAAACCCUCGUUACUGGUAAUCGUCGCGGCCACGCCGUUAAACCCCAACUUCUGAAUGUUGACCUCGGAUCA